RNAcentral lists this ribosomal RNA (452 nucleotides) under uncultured bacterium. RNAcentral describes it as "bacterial SSU rRNA". It matches the Rfam family "Bacterial small subunit ribosomal RNA", at positions 29 to 524 of the family's 1533-position model. The record is from RNAcentral.
AGCGAACGCUGGCGGCAGGCUUAACACAUGCAAGUCGAGCGGGCGUAGCAAUACGUCAGCGGCAGACGGGUGAGUAACGCGUGGGAACGUACCUUUUGGUUCGGAACAACCCAGGGAAACUUGGGCUAAUACCGGAUAAGCCCUUACGGGGAAAGAUUUAUCGCCGAAAGAUCGGCCCGCGUCUGAUUAGCUAGUUGGUGAGGUAACGGCUCACCAAGGCGACGAUCAGUAGCUGGUCUGAGAGGAUGAUCAGCCACAUUGGGACUGAGACACGGCCCAAACUCCUACGGGAGGCAGCAGUGGGGAAUAUUGGACAAUGGGCGCAAGCCUGAUCCAGCCAUGCCGCGUGAGUGAUGAAGGCCCUAGGGUUGUAAAGCUCUUUUGUGCGGGAAGAUAAUGACGGUACCGCAAGAAUAAGCCCCGGCUAACUUCGUGCCAGCCGCCGCAGUAAG